Molecule: ribosomal RNA, 254 nt
Filed under: uncultured Armatimonadota bacterium
Lineage: Bacteria; Bacillati; Armatimonadota
Description: uncultured Armatimonadetes bacterium partial 16S ribosomal RNA
Rfam family: Bacterial small subunit ribosomal RNA
Source: RNAcentral
UACGUAGGGGGCGAGCGUUGUCCGAAGUUACUGGGCGUAAAGCGCGCGUAGGCGGGCCGAUAAGUGAGAAGUGAAAGGCUCAGGGCUCAACCCGAGCAGUGCUUCUCAUACUGUUGGUCUUGAGGGCGGUAGGGAGAAGUGGAAUGGCUGGUGUAGCGGUGAAAUGCGUAGAUAUCAGUCGGAACACCGGUGGCGAAGGCGGCUUCUUGGGCCGUUCCUGACGCUGAGGCGCGAAAGCCAGGGGAGCGAACGGG